RNAcentral lists this ribosomal RNA (163 nucleotides) under uncultured bacterium. Its description in RNAcentral is "partial 16S ribosomal RNA". It matches the Rfam family "Bacterial small subunit ribosomal RNA", at positions 393 to 539 of the family's 1533-position model. The record is from RNAcentral.
AAUGCCGCGUGUGUGAAGAAGGCCUGCGGGUUGUAAAGCACUUUUAUUAGGGAAGAAACAGCCUGGCCUAAUACGCCAUGGCAAUUGACGGUACCUAAGGAAUAAGCACCGGCUAACUCCGUGCCAGCAACUUCGGUGACUGAGCGGGCUGGCAAGGCGCAUA